This 705-nucleotide ribosomal RNA is filed under the name Calonarius pseudocupreorufus. RNAcentral's name for it is "eukaryotic LSU rRNA". The stretch from base 310 to 463 matches the Rfam family "5.8S ribosomal RNA". The record is from RNAcentral. Lineage: Eukaryota; Fungi; Basidiomycota; Agaricomycetes; Agaricales; Cortinariaceae.
CUUGGUCAUUUAGAGGAAGUAAAAGUCGUAACAAGGUUUCCGUAGGUGAACCUGCGGAAGGAUCAUUAUUGAAAUAAACCUGAUAAGUUGCUGCUGGUUCUCUAGGGAGCAUGUGCACACUUGUCAUCUUUGUAUCUUCACCUGUGCACCUUUUGUAGACCUGACUAUCUCUCUGACUGCUUUUUAGCACUCGGGAUUGAGGAUUGACUUUCUGUCUCUUCUUACAUUUUCAGGUCUAUGUUUCUUCAUAUACCCUAAUGCAUGUUUAUAGAAUGUAAUCAAUGGGCCUUUGUGCCUAUAAAUCUAUACAACUUUCAGCAACGGAUCUCUUGGCUCUCGCAUCGAUGAAGAACGCAGCGAAAUGCGAUAAGUAAUGUGAAUUGCAGAAUUCAGUGAAUCAUCGAAUCUUUGAACGCACCUUGCGCUCCUUGGUAUUCCGAGGAGCAUGCCUGUUUGAGUGUCAUUAAUAUAUCAACCUUCUUUGGUUGGAUGUGGGUUUGCUGGCUUCCUUGAGGUCAGCUCUCCUUAAAUGCAUUAGCGGACAACAUUUUGCCCACUGUUCAUUGGUGUGAUAAUUAUCUACGCUAUUGACAUGAAGCAAUGUUCAGCUUCUAACAGUCCAUUGACUUGGACAAAUUUAAUUUUAUUAAUGUGGCCUCAAAUCAGGUAGGACUACCCGCUGAACUUAAGCAUAUCAAUAAGCGG